CGGCGCCGCGCCUCCCUACCCGCGCCCUGCGUCGGAGCCCUUGGACUUCCCCCGCGCGGCGAGGUUGUGCUGGUCUUGCAAGGCCGAGCCCCUUCCCUAGGGCUCCUACACUCACAAAGCCUCAAGAUGGGUUCUCUGCAUGUCAAGUCUGCCCAGAGAGUGCAAACUAUUGGCCGGAG
Non-coding RNA from Macaca mulatta (Rhesus monkey), 179 nucleotides. The record is from RefSeq and is a predicted model, not a curated record. NCBI's taxonomy places the organism in Eukaryota, Metazoa, Chordata, Mammalia, Primates, Cercopithecidae.